UGGCUAGAUGCUAGGGUGGAGUAUGCGGCCGUGGAGAACAUCAUUGCGCCUAUUGGUCUCGUCGUCGGCUGCGAAGUGGAAUCCUUGCGAGUGUCGGCGCUAAACUGGGACUGCAGGACAGCAUCAACAGGGCUGAAGCUGGCCGAGGUCCAGUGCAUCGACAUUCUGGAUGUGGAUUACCAAUUUCUGUGAAGGUGAAGUGGCUUCGUAUCUGUGGAAGAAUAGAAAGGUUUUUAGUUUCUUUUCAGCCGCCGCCAUAAUCUGGAUUCUGGAGCUGCCGCCGUCCAUCCUCAGGUUCUCUGCUGGGGCCGUCAUUUGCCUGCGUAGCAGCUGCAUUAGCGCUACUGCGGCUGAUUUCCAUAUUGUGUGUUGCAAACGGAUUUCGCAGCCAGUUCUCGCGUCUGACUUGGAGCAAUAUUGAUUGGAUGGCUGUCAGGCUUCUGUUGCUGUUUGGAUUGUGCUCUUCUAUCAUUGCGGCAUACCUUGGCCUGGCCAGCCUUCUUGGAAUGUAUGGUUGCUACUUGGAGAUCCGCAUGCAGUGCGUUGUUGCUCACAUACCAGGGAGCAUUUGUCAUUGCUCUGAGAGCUUUGUUUUGGAUCGUCUGGAGCUUUGCCAUUUGCAUGUUUGAAGUCAGUGGCCCCCAGACUGGCAUGGCAUACUGCCAUAUUGGGGCAAUCAGCUGCUUAUAGAGGAGGACCUUUGGAGGUAGUGGGAGUUUGCUGUUUCUGCCGAUGAUCCAGUCGAGCUUUUUGAUCCGGGCCCUUGUUUUAGUGACAACAGCCGCUACGUGCUUAUUGAAAUUGAGCUUCGUAUCCAUCUGUAUUCCUAGGUAUGGCAUGACGGGUUUUUUGGCCAGGAGUUGCCCGGCUAACCUUGGAGCUGGAGUGUGUAGCUGCACAGCCCAUGAUAAUGCAUCAGCCAGGAGCCGCUCCACAUUUUCGUUGGCUUGUUUUGGACUUGGGGCAGAUACGAGGUAUACUGCGUCAUCAGCGUACGUUGCUAGCAUUUGGGUUGAGUUUGCGUGUCUUGGUGGCUGCGGCAUGUCGGCAGUGUAAAGGUUGUAGAGUACUGGGCCAAGUACGCUUCCUUGCGGCACUCCAGCGGUUAUGUGCUUUAGGCUUGAGGUGAUGUUGUUGCAGCAGACGACUUUGAAGCUUCUGUCUGAGAGAUAGCUGAGAAGACCCUGAUGCCAGACUCUAUCAAAGGCCUCCUGGAUAUCCAUGUACACAGCACUGCAAUGCCGCUGCGCUUCGUAGGAUCUGAGGAUGAAUUGCGUGACUCGUCCGAUUUGCUGUUCCGCUGAGUGCUGACUUCUGAAGCCAAAUUGAUGGUUUGGAAUAGCCAUGGCAAAGCUUUCUUCUUCAAAAAGUCGUUUGAGGAUGAGGCGUUCAAGGAUUUUGGAGAAGCCUGACUUUGGGAAGUGGCCGAACUGCAGAGCCGAGUUGCAUAUCAACAGCAGAUACUCGAUGGCGGAUGUUGGCAGAGAUUUAAUGACGCGAUUGUCGAUACUGUCGAAACCGGGUGCCUUUUUCGUCUUGAGCUUCUUAAUUUCCGAUUUGAGUUCCUGGAUGGUCACAGGUCUGCCGUGAUCUUUGGCGUGAAACGUGCUUCCAGGUGCUGCGCAAAGGCCUCAGCUUUUUCCUCCGUAGUUUUGCACCAAGGUUCAGCAGGAGCUUGCUGCCCUUCCGCAACGUGCCUUCUGACUGGCAGAUUUGGGAUGGGCUGUCUCUUGAUUGUGUUGCUUGAUCCGUUUACGUAUUCUGUUAGUCAGCUGAUUGAUAGUGCGUGCAAUGAGGGGGUUGGAGCACCUAUCUUUUUGGUUGAUUUUGCAGAGAAUUCUUUUGAUCUUGAUCGCUUUCAGCGUUUGCGAGUCAAGAUGGAAGCUUUGCGGUCCGUACACUGUGUGCUGGUUACUUGAGGUUUGCGAAGCCAAUUCAGCUGCAAUGUAAAUGUUCUUUUCAAGGAUAGCCACUGCAUCAUCUAUGUCGUCGCCGUUGUGAAGUUCAGUCUCCAGAUGGAUUCGCUGUUCUAGGUCUCAGGAGGAGUCUAAUAAUUUGCAUGUUGUGAUCUGAACCUAAGUCAUAUGAUGUUUCGAUGUGGAUUAAAUUGUGUCUAAUACCCUUAUAAA
Drosophila miranda is the source of this 2129-nucleotide RNA transcript. RefSeq lists it as uncharacterized. NCBI's taxonomy places the organism in Eukaryota, Metazoa, Arthropoda, Insecta, Diptera, Drosophilidae. The record is from RefSeq and is a predicted model, not a curated record. The transcript has 9 exons.